This 253-nucleotide ribosomal RNA is filed under the name uncultured bacterium. RNAcentral's name for it is "partial 16S ribosomal RNA". It matches the Rfam family "Bacterial small subunit ribosomal RNA", at positions 524 to 776 of the family's 1533-position model. The record is from RNAcentral.
UACGAAGGGGGCUAGCGUUGUUCGGAAUUACUGGGCGUAAAGCGCGCGCAGGCGGUCUUCCAAGUCAGUGGUGAAAGCCUGGAGCUCAACUCCAGAACUGCCAUUGAAACUGUUAGACUUGAGUACGAGAGAGGUGAGUGGAAUUCCCAGUGUAGAGGUGAAAUUCGUAGAUAUUGAGAAGAACACCAGUGGCGAAGGCGGCUCACUGGCUCGUAACUGACGCUCAGGCGCGACAGCGUGGGGAUCAAACAGG